This 490-nucleotide ribosomal RNA is filed under the name Centipeda noxia. RNAcentral's name for it is "bacterial SSU rRNA". It matches the Rfam family "Bacterial small subunit ribosomal RNA", at positions 28 to 492 of the family's 1533-position model. The record is from RNAcentral. Lineage: Bacteria; Bacillati; Bacillota; Negativicutes; Selenomonadales; Selenomonadaceae.
GACGAACGCUGGCGGCGUGCUUAACACAUGCAAGUCGAACGGAGCGAAUGAAAGCUUGCUUUUAUAAGCUUAGUGGCAAACGGGUGAGUAACACGUAGACAACCUGCCGACAGGAUGGGGACAACAUUCCGAAAGGAAUGCUAAUACCGAAUGAAGUGCAGGGGAGGCAUCUCCCCUGCAUGAAAGAUGGCCUCUGAAUAUGCUAUUACCUGUUGAUGGGUCUGCGUCUGAUUAGCUGGUAGGUGAGGUAACGGCUCACCUAGGCGACGAUCAGUAGCCGGUCUGAGAGGAUGAACGGCCACAUUGGGACUGAGACACGGCCCAGACUCCUACGGGAGGCAGCAGUGGGGAAUCUUCCGCAAUGGGCGCAAGCCUGACGGAGCAACGCCGCGUGAGUGAAGAAGGUCUUCGGAUCGUAAAGCUCUGUUGAUGGGGACGAACGUGCCUAAUGCGAAUAGCUUUAGGUAAUGACGGUACCCAUGAGGAAGCC